UCCAGUGGUGGGGGCACGAACUUCAUCGUGCGCGCCGCCUUUGCGGGAAGGGGAUAGAUCGACGCGCCAAGAAAUCGUUUCAGUUGCCACGGCUUCAGUAGGCAAUAUGAUUGUUGCUUGACCACAG
Phragmites australis (common reed) is the source of this 127-nucleotide small nucleolar RNA. RefSeq annotates it as small nucleolar RNA snoR111. The transcript has a single exon. NCBI's taxonomy places the organism in Eukaryota, Viridiplantae, Streptophyta, Magnoliopsida, Poales, Poaceae. The record is from RefSeq and is a predicted model, not a curated record.